UCAUAGAAUUUUUUCAAAUUCAUGAUGUCGUAAGGGAAAAUAAUGAUAAUACCUUACUAUGAGUGUCGUCCAAAUCUGGUGCCAGAAGACUCGGUAAGACCAGAGACGCAAACGUUAAUCAUCAUAAACAGGCGUAAAGGGUUUGUAGGCAGCUUUUAUAGGAUUCUUUUUAAAGAUAAUCUAAAUUGAAAGCUAGAAUCAAAAAGAGGUUAUAGUGUAUAACGCCUAGAGGAGGGCUGAUAUCCGUAGAUCCUAGGCAGAAUACUCAGGGCGAAGGCCACUCUCCACUAAUGAUUGACGCUGAGAAACGAAGGUUAGGGUAGGAAAUAGGAUUAGAUACCCCGGUACUCCUUUCUGUAAACGAUGAAUGGUAGUCAUUAGUAAAAAUAAAAUAACUAGAGGCGAAGUUAACACAAUAACCAUUCCGCCUUGUGAGUACUACUGCAAAGUAGAAAACAAAAAAAUUAGUCGGUCUCGAAGCAAACGGAGUGAAGCAUGUUAUUUA
RNAcentral lists this ribosomal RNA (505 nucleotides) under Ganoderma sessile. Its description in RNAcentral is "SSU rRNA". It matches the Rfam family "Bacterial small subunit ribosomal RNA", at positions 415 to 948 of the family's 1533-position model. The record is from RNAcentral. Lineage: Eukaryota; Fungi; Basidiomycota; Agaricomycetes; Polyporales; Polyporaceae.